Molecule: ribosomal RNA, 258 nt
Filed under: uncultured bacterium
Lineage: Bacteria
Description: partial 16S ribosomal RNA
Rfam family: Bacterial small subunit ribosomal RNA
Source: RNAcentral
UACGAAGGGGGGCUAGCGUUGUUCGGAAUUACUGGGCGCCAAAGCGCACGUAGGCGGGUUGUUAAGUCAGGGGGUGAAAUCCUGGAGCUCAACUCCAGAACUGCCUUUGAUACUGGCAACCCUAGAGACUGGAAGAGGUUAGUGGAAUUCCCAGUCGUAGAGGUGAAAUUCGUAGAUAUUGGGAAGAACACCAGUGGCGAAGGCGGCUAACUGGUCCAGCAGCUGACGCUGAGGUGCGAAAGCGUGGGGAGCAAACAG